AUUCAGCUGACGAGUCCCAAACAGGACGAAACGCGCGUCCUGAAU
Molecule: non-coding RNA, 45 nt
Filed under: Schistosoma margrebowiei
Lineage: Eukaryota; Metazoa; Platyhelminthes; Trematoda; Strigeidida; Schistosomatidae
Source: RNAcentral